RNAcentral lists this unclassified non-coding RNA (4155 nucleotides) under Sitophilus oryzae (rice weevil). Its description in RNAcentral is "uncharacterized LOC115878726, transcript variant X2". Lineage: Eukaryota; Metazoa; Arthropoda; Insecta; Coleoptera; Curculionidae. The record is from RNAcentral.
CCAAAAUUAGAAGCAGAAAGCAGGAAGGGACCGGAAGCCGGAAGGACAUACUCGUAAAAAAUCAUACAAAGCAAUAUAUUUUACAAAACCUAUAGUUUUCAAACAGAUAUCGUUGAGUUCUUUUAGCAAAAUUUAUUAGCAGUAAGUUACUAAUAUAUUUUAUAACAUAUUUCAACUAUGUUAAAUGCAAUGGAAAAUUUUAAUGUUUCUGCCAGACAUCACUAAUCAUGGAUCGUCAUAAAAUGUUUAUUCUUCAUAAACAGUGUUAACUGUGCAAUAUUAAGUUUGUACGUAACUUUUCAAAAUUUGGACCAAGGGUCAUUGCCAAAGAACUAAAAAUUUGAUUGCUACUACUUUUAAGCCAUGAAUGGUCCUGCGAUAAAAAGAUAUAAUACUAACGAAAUUAUAAGCACUAUUGUCAUAGAUUCAGAUGAUGAUGAUGAUUUUCCAAAGCGUAAAAGUGAUAUACCUGAAGGACCUAAAAAUAAGAAAUUAAAAAAAAAUCCAGUUGCGAGACCUAGUAAUAUUUUUAAUGUAACUGGAAGUAAUGCUAGAAAUGAUCAACGUCCAACAGGACCUAGAAUUUCUUCUAUUGUGACAGGAAAUAAUGCAAGAAAUGAUAAGUGUCCAUCUACAAGACCUAGUAUUAAUCCUCUUGCAACUGUAAAUACUGCAAAAAAUGAUAAGUAUCCACCUACAAGACCUGGUACUGCUGAUAUUGUAACAGGAAAUAGUACAAGAAAUGAACAAAAUCCGCAUACAAUAUCUAGUAUCCCUCCUCUUGCAGUUCUAAAUAAUGCAAGAAAUAAUCGAUAUCUACCUACCCGACUUACUGUUGCUGAUAUUGUAAAUGGAUAUAUUCCAAAAAAUAAUCAACAUACACCUACAAAAUCUAGUAUUCCUCCUCUUGUAUUUCGAAAUAAUGCAAGGAAUAUAAUUUCUGAUGCCACAACUGGAAAUAUUGAAAGAAAUGAUCAACAUCUUUUUACAAAAUCUAGUAUUCCUCCUCUUGUAAUUAUAAAUGAUGCAAGAAAUGAUCAGUAUCCACCUACAAGACCUAACAUUGAUCCUCUCAUAACUGCAAAUAAUGAGAAAAAUAAUAAACAUCCUCUUACAAGGCCUAGUACCGAUCCUCUUAUAACUGGACAUAAUGCAAGAAAUAAUCAAUAUACACCUACAAGACCUAGUAUUGAUCCUCUAAUGACUGGAAAUAAUGAAAGAAAUAAUAAACAUCCACUUACAAGACCUAGUAUUGAUUCUCUAAUGAUUGGAAAUAAUAAAAAAUCACCUACAAGACCUAGUAUUGAUCCUCUUAUAACUGGACAUAAUGCAAGAAAUAAUCAAUAUACACCUACAAGACCUAGUAUUGAUCCUCUAAUGAUUGGAAAUAAUGAAAGAAAUAAUAAAAAUCCACCUACAAGACCUAGUAUUGAUUCUCUAAUGAUUGGAAAUAAUGAAAGAAAAAAUAAAAAUCCACCUACAAGACCUAGUAUUGAUCCUCUAAUGAUUGGAAAUAAUGAAAGAAAUAAUAAACAUCCACCUACAAGACUUAGUAUUGACCCUGUAAUGAUUGGAAAUAAUGAAAGAAAUAAUAAACAUCCACCUACAAGAUCUAGUAUUGAUCCUCUACUGACUGGAACUAAUGAAAGAAAUAAUAAACAUCCACCUACAAGACCUAGUAUUGAUCCUCUUAUAAAUGGACAUAAUGCAAGAAAUAAUCAAUAUACACCUACAAGACCUAGUAUUGAUCCUCUAAUGACUGGAAAUAAUGAAAGAAAUAAACAUUCACCUACAAGACCUAGUAUUGAUCCUCUAAUAAUUGGAAAUAAUGAAAGAAAUAAUAAAAAUUCAUCUACAAGACCUAGUAUUGAUCCUCUUAUAACUGGACAUAAUGCAAGAAAUAAUCAAUAUUCACCUACAAAACCUAGUAUUGAUCCUCUAAUGAUUGGAAAUAAUGAAAUAAAUAAUAUACAUCCACCUACAAUAUCUAGUAUUGAUCCUCUUAUAACUGGACAUGAUGCAAGAAAUGCUCAAUGUCCACCUACAAGACCAAAUUUCACUGCUAUUAUAACUAAAACUAUAUCAAGAAAUGACCUCAAAAAUCAGCCUCCACCUACAAGACCUAGUAACACUUCUGUUGUAAAUAGAAGUAUGGCAAAAGAUGAAAAACCUCUACCUACAAUACCUAGUAAUGACCCUACUCUAAAUGAAAAUAUUUUGAGAGAUGAGAAAUUCGUUCAUAUAUCCAAUUUAAGUCAAUAUGAAAAAAUUUUUGACAAAAAAAGAUAUUACUUUGUGUCUGUUGACACAUUUACAGAUCCAUUGUACCAAAUAGGGCCAGAUAUCAAUACUUCAUCGAUACAAUCUCAUGAUCCUUUAGCUUCCAAUGACAUUCAAGGAUUCGAGCAAUCUGUAAAAUACCAGUCAAUUGAAUAUAGGAAAAUAAAUCAAACAUUAAUACAACCUAACAAUACUCUGGUGAAAAAUGAUAAUAAUAUGUUACGAGGAUUCUCUGAGUCUGAACAAAACAAGACAGCUGAAUGCAGGAAAAAGUAUAGUGCCAUAGUUCACCGAUACCAUAAUGUUAUACAUAGCAAUUAUUUUGACCUUCUUAUGUUGCAACAGAAAAUAAAAAUUGCUAAACGAAAAAAGAAACAAAGUUUGGAGAAUUCCAAAAAUUCCCAGUACGACAGUGAUCUGUUGAUAAUGAAAAAGGUCGAAUUUCUGAAGUCGGGACUUGAAAAAAGAGGGCGGGGUCGACCGAAAUCGAAAAAGAAUGUGCGAACUAGUUUCACGCACAUAAAAAGAGGAAAAAAACCUUCAGAUAAUCCUGACUCCUAUGAAGAUGACUCGAACUUUACUGUACUAUAUAACAAUGUACCAUAUAAAAUUAAUCCGUCAUACGUCGAUAUGAAUAUAAAUAACGCCAUGUUAAAUAAACCAAAUCUAACUAAGGAAUCAGGAGAUAAAAAAAUAAAAUCAGCCAAAGUUAUAACAGACUUCGAAGAAUUCAAACGAAAAAUAACGGCAACCAGACCGUUUUUAAUUCUGAACGAGGAAAGUAAGGUUAAUGUAGAGACUGCAGAGGAUUUUAAUAUUAUUUUUCCGUUAAGUAAGAAUACAGAGACUGUAGAUAUAAACUUUAGGAAUCGAGCUAUUCGUAAGUUAGCAUUGAGGGGACAGGUUAUGUUUGUUUUGUCAAGAAUACUUUGUAGCUAUUUGUUACAAGUGUAAUGUACCUAUAGAUGGAAAGGAUUACUAAAUAUGAAUAGGGUUCUUAUGUAUUAUUUCUGCAAAACUAUUUUAUAUUUUGUUGAUUAUGAUUACUUAAUUAUUUUGUUAUUCUUAUUUUUUACAGACCCUAAGACUUUUACAUUAGUAGUUUUUUUUGAUAUAUGGAAUAUAUAUUGAACUCAUAUCUUUUAUAUAGUAUUGUAAGUUGGAAAUAAUGAUUUUCGUUUUACAACUCACUUGAAGAUAGUCUUGUAUAUUCGAAAAAAUAUUUGGUUGUAAAUAAUACAAAAGAAAUACAUUUGUUAUAUAGAUUCACAACUUUUAAUAUUGUAAACUUACAAUACAUAUAUGUAUAUUGAUAGAAUCUCUUCUUAUUUUUGUAAAAUACAAGUUAUUUAAAAAUGUUUAAUUCAUUUUGUAUCAGUUGUUAUCUUUUAUCUAUAUGACAUAACUAUAAUUCAUAUUUUACAGAACGUCUUUUUUAAACUGUCUGUCUCGAAUUUUUAUCUUGUCCCAAAUUUUACAAAAUAAACCAAUACUAAUACUUUUAAAUAAAUUACUUAGAUGGUAGCCCAUUUUUAUGAGUAUUUACAUUUUAUAUUCUGCAAAUAUGAAUUACAGUUAGCCACUGUAUAUUGAACAAAUAAAUAAUAUAUUAGCAAAAUACUCUUUAAAUUUGUUUUUACAUUACAGGAGAUAAUUUGAAGAAAAUACUAUUGUAUAAUGGAUAGGUCAUUCUAAAUUAGUGAUCUGUAUUUUAGUGAGUAAGAUAGAGAUAUAAUCUAACUUAAGUAAUAACCAAUUGAUAGACAGGGAUACAAGGAAAUGCAGCAUUGCGGUUCCUAUCUGGGGUAUGCAUAAUUAAAGAUGGCGCACUGUUAACUUAAGGAAUACAGUAAAAAUCUGUAGAAGUAAUGGGAA